Molecule: ribosomal RNA, 563 nt
Filed under: uncultured archaeon
Lineage: Archaea
Description: bacterial SSU rRNA
Rfam family: Archaeal small subunit ribosomal RNA
Source: RNAcentral
AUACGGCUCAGUAACACGUAGUCAACCUGCCCUGGAGACAAGGACAACCCCGGGAAACUGGGAUUAAUCCUUGAUAGGUCAUCUCAUCUGGAAGGAGAGAUGGCUUAAAGGGGUACGCGGGCUUCUUCCGCGAAUUCGCUCCAGGAUGGGACUGCGUCCGAUCAGGCUGUUGGCGGGGUAAUGGCCCACCAAACCUGUAACCGGUACGGGCCUUGAGAGAGGUGGCCCGGAGAUGGACACUGAGAGAAGGGUCCAGGUCCUACGGGGCGCAGCAGGCGCGAAACCUUCGCAAUGCGCGAAAGCGUGACGAGGUUAAUCCGAGUGACUUCCGCUGAGGAGGUCUUUUGUCAGCUGUAAAUAGGCAGGCGAAUAAGGGGAGGGCAAGCCUGGUGUCAGCCGCCGCGGUAAUACCAGCUCCUCGAGUGGUCGGGGCGAUUAUUGGGCCUAAAGCAUCCGUAGCCGGUUCCGUAGGUCCUCUGUUNAAAUCCAACCGCUCAACGGUUGACCUGCAGAGGAUACCGCGGGACUAGGAAGCGGGAGAGGCGGACGGUACUCCGCGUGUA